This 454-nucleotide ribosomal RNA is filed under the name uncultured bacterium. Its description in RNAcentral is "bacterial LSU rRNA". It matches the Rfam family "Bacterial large subunit ribosomal RNA", at positions 728 to 1179 of the family's 2925-position model. The record is from RNAcentral.
AUCUAUCCAUGGCCAGGAUGAAGGUGCGUAACACGCACUGGAGGUCCGAACCCACUAAUGUGAAAAAUUAGGGGAUGAGCUGUGGAUAGGGGUGAAAAGGCUAAACAAACUUGGAAAUAGCUGGUUCUCUACCGAAAACUAUUUAGGUAGUGCCUCAAGUAUCACCGACGGGGGUAAAGCACUGUUAUGGCUAGGGGGUCAUCGCGACUUACCAAACCAUUGCAAACUCAGAAUACCGUUGAGUGCGAGCUUGGGAGACAGACAUCGGGGUGCUAACGUCCGGUGUCAAGAGGGAAACAACCCAGACCGCCGAUUAAGGUCCCGAAGACAUAGUUAAGUGGGAAACGAGGUGGGAAGGCUUAGACAGCCAGGAGGUUGGCUUAGAAGCAGCCAUCCUUUAAAGAAAGCGUAAUAGCUCACUGGUCGAGUCGUCCUGCGCGGAAGAUGUAACGGG